CCUACGGGAGGCAGCAGUGGGGAAUAUUGCACAAUGGGGGGAACCCUGAUGCAGCGACGCCGCGUGGGUGAAGGAGCACCUCGGUGCGUAAAGCCCUAUCGGCAGGGAAGAAAAGCGAACAGGUUCGCCUGGACGGUACCUGACUAAGAAGCCCCGGCUAACUACGUGCCAGCAGCCGCGGUAAUACGUAGGGAGCAAGCGUUAUCCGGAUUCACUGGGUGUAAAGGGAGCGUAGACGGCGGCGCAAGUCUGGAGUGAAAGCCCGGGGCCCAACCCCGGGACUGCUCUGGAAACUGCGGCGCUGGAGUACGGGAGGGGCAGGCGGAAUGCGUGGUGUAGCGGUGAAAUGCGUAGAUAUCAGGAGGAACACCGGCGGCGAAGGCGGCCUGCUGGGCCGUGACUGACGUUGAGGCUCGAGAGCGUGGGGAGCAAACAGGAUUAGAUACCCCUGUAGUC
This 456-nucleotide ribosomal RNA is filed under the name uncultured bacterium. Its description in RNAcentral is "partial 16S ribosomal RNA". It matches the Rfam family "Bacterial small subunit ribosomal RNA", at positions 338 to 795 of the family's 1533-position model. The record is from RNAcentral.